Molecule: RNA transcript, 2221 nt
Organism: Lucilia sericata (common green bottle fly)
Lineage: Eukaryota; Metazoa; Arthropoda; Insecta; Diptera; Calliphoridae
Gene name: tRNA (uracil-5-)-methyltransferase homolog A
Exons: 5
Source: RefSeq, a predicted model, not a curated record
AUUUUUGUCGGCGCAGGUCACACGUGUUGCGCCUUUUAAACAAAUAAUUUUCAGUUUGUGCUGGAAAUUUUUAUUAAUUUAAUUUUUUAAAAUAAAAAUGGACGUAGAAAUACAAGAAGUGCAAAAAGUUGAUGAAAAGGCAACAGAAAUUGCUGCAAUUGAAGAAAAAGCAGAAGAAAUAAAAGAAACUAAGGAGAAAACAAGUAACAACAGCGAUGAAACAAAAGAUACCGAAGAGGAAGGAGGCAAUGACAAGGAAUUUGGCUAUUUGCAGCGCAAUGAAUUUACCUCAGAAAUUUACAAAAUUGAAGUGCGAAAUAUGGGCUACUUUGGCAUGGGGGAAUUUAAAAAAUUGAUCAAAAACAAACUCAAGUUGGACAUGGCCAAAGUGAAGUCUCCUUUGCGCAAAGAAUUUGCUUUUGUUUGUUUUCGCAGUCAGGAAGAUCAGGAGAAGGCUAUACAGCUUUUAAAUGGUUACAAAUGGAAAGGCAAGGUCUUGCAGGCCACGGUGGCUAAAGCUUCGGCGGAUCCCUUGCAAAGAAAACGUAAAGAAGAUGGCCAAUCGGAAGAAAAACGUGGCAGUGACAAUAAAAAACAACGCACCUCAGCCGAUGCCACUUGUCCUUUGGCUCAUUUAAGUUAUGAGGAACAAUUAAAAAAGAAAUACUAUGAAAUGGAGGAAUUAAUCAAAAAGUUUACCAAUGAUUUGAAAAAAAUCAAUCGGGAUGCCAAACCUCAUUUACAAAAUUUCAAAUAUGAAGGUGCCUUAGCCUCUCCUCAAAUAAAUGGUUAUCGCAAUAAGAAUGAAUUUACAGUGGGUAAAAAUAGUAAUGGUGAAAUUGUGGUAGGUUUUCGUUUAGGUAGUUAUGCUGACGGUUCAGUAGAAGUAGCGGAGGUAGAAUCAUUACCUCAUAUCCCUAAAGCAGCCAAAUGGGCUGCGAAAACUUUCCAAGAUUUUGUUAAGCAAUCCAAGUUCCAACCUUUCAAUCCAGAGGGAAAUUCUGGUCACUUUCGUCAAAUAAUGGUGCGCACUUCCAAGCUCACCAAUGAACUUAUGCUGGUGCCCGGUAUCUAUACUUCAAAUUUAACUGAGGACGAACUAAAACAAGUAAAAGAGGAAUUAAUCGCUUACUAUGAAAACUUGUCCUUUAAGGAUGAGGAGGAGGGCGUAGAAAAAGAGUACAAAUGCACUUCUUUGUACUAUCAAGAUGUUAAACAUCGUGAGGUGGGUCAAAUGGUUUCACCCGUCGAGCAUUUAUCGGGCACUACUCACAUAAGAGAUUCCAUACAAGAUUUGGAAUUUAGAAUAAGUCCUUUGGCUUUCUUUCAAAUUAACACUGCGAGUGCUAAUGUUUUAUAUCAAAAUGCUAUAGCUUUAGCGGCUCCAAAACCUCAUUCCACAGUUUUGGAUAUUUGCUGUGGUACGGGCACUAUAGCUUUGGCUUUUGCUAAACACUGUAAACAGGUGUUGGGCGUGGAAAUCAUACCCGAUGCCAUUAAGGAUGCUGAGUAUAAUGCUGAGAAGAAUGGUAUAACAAAUUGUAAAUUUUAUGCAGGAAAUGCUGAUGAUUAUAUACAAUCGAUGGUUAAGGAAGUGGUGUAUGGUACAGCACCAGGUGAACCGUUGGAUUUGGUAGCUGUCGUGGAUCCUCCCAGAGCAGGAUUGCACCAACGUUCCAUACUCGCUAUACGUGCCGCCUCGGCCAUUAAACGUUUAGUCUACAUUUCCUGUAAUCCCCACAGAGCUCAACGCAACUGGAUAGAAUUAGGUCGCCCAGAAUCAAAACAAUAUAAAGGAGAACCUUUUUAUCCUGUCACAGCGGUGGCGGUAGAUAUGUUCCCCCACACCACACACACCGAAAUGAUUGUUCUAUUUGAGAGAAAAACUCCCGAAGUAAAGGAUGAGAAAGUAGAAAAUGAAACAAAAAUAGAGGAGGAGAAAGUAGAAAAGCAAGAGGAACAAAAGGAUGAGGAGCAAAAGGAAUCUAGUGAGAAACCUGCUGCAGAGAAUAAAGAGGCAGAGAUUGCCAACUGAUUAGCAACUGACUAUAUAUAACAAAUUACUAACACAAACAACCAUGUAUUUGUUAUUUUAGAAUAUACAACACUAAAAAAAGGCAACAAAGUAUAAAGUGAAGCAGUUAAGAAUAUUUAAUUAAAUCUAUGAAAAAAUAGAGAUUUUAGUUAAAAGAAAAAGAAAAAAAAAUUGAACAUAUUUGGC